RNAcentral lists this ribosomal RNA (494 nucleotides) under Termitomyces aff. entolomoides tgf10. Its description in RNAcentral is "eukaryotic LSU rRNA". It matches the Rfam family "Eukaryotic large subunit ribosomal RNA", at positions 72 to 561 of the family's 3401-position model. Lineage: Eukaryota; Fungi; Basidiomycota; Agaricomycetes; Agaricales; Lyophyllaceae. The record is from RNAcentral.
GGAUUCCCCUAGUAACUGCGAGUGAAGCGGGAAAAGCUCAAAUUUAAAAUCUGGUAGCUUUGCUGCCCGAGUUGUAAUCUAGAGAAGCAUUAUCAGCGCUCGCGGCGUGUACAAGUGUCCUGGAAUGGACCAUCAUAGAGGGUGACAAUCCCGUCUUUGACACGGCUGCCUUUAGUGCUAUUGAUGUGCUCUCAACGAGUCGAGUUGUUUGGGAAUGCAGCUCUAAAUGGGUGGUAAGUUCCAUCUAAAGCUAAAUAUUGGCGAGAGACCGAUAGCGAACAAGUACCGUGAGGGAAAGAUGAAAAGGACUUUGGAAAGAGAGUUAAACAGUACGUGAAAUUGCUGAAAGGGAAACGCUUGAAGUCGGUCGCGUUGGCUGGGUAAUUCAGAAAUCAACCUUUGGCUCGGCUUAUUUCCCAUUUGACGGGCCACCAUCAGUUUUGACCGGUGGACAAAGGCUAAGGGAAUGUGGCACCUUCGGGUGUGUUAUACCC